GUAGAGUUUUUGAAACCAAAAGAGUGCUGAACUGAGAACUUAUUUUAUUUUACAACCAAAUCAAAAUGUUUCUAGCCAUAUAUGCUGUUCUCUUCUCUUUGGUUACAGAAGCUGUUCUGGGAGUAAAACUGGAGCAAAAAGAUCUCUCCAUGACAAAAGAGGAGGGCAAAAGUGUGUACAUCAGCUGCAAAGUGACUGGCUUAUCCACCACUUAUGUUCACUGGUACCAAAAGAAAGACGGCGAAGGUCUCAGAAGGAUCCUGUAUGUCAGCAGUGGAAGCAAACCUGUUCUUGAUAAUAACCACCCUGAAGCAAAGGACUUCGAUGUGAGGAUAGAUUCUGAUAAUUAUGCUCUGAAGAUAGCAAUACUGAAGAAAAGUCACACAGCAGUUUAUUACUGCGCCAGCUGGGAAAGCACCCACAGUGACACUAAAUAUGUAGAGUGUGUACAAAAACCCUGAUGGUAUCCAACCACAACAGAAACACUACAGGAGUCUUUUACCUAAAUUUAAUCAAACGCUGAAAUGUUUAUUUGAAAUUUCUUUAUAGC
Molecule: non-coding RNA, 550 nt
Organism: Neoarius graeffei (lesser salmon catfish)
Lineage: Eukaryota; Metazoa; Chordata; Actinopteri; Siluriformes; Ariidae
Source: the annotation of a RefSeq genome assembly